GGACAAUCGACAGACAAUAGGUAUCUACGCAACUAUAGCUGAAAAUGAUGUUAGGAAGAAUGAGAGCAACACAGAUGUCGAUUUUUAUAUUCAAAAACGAACGAGGAGAUCAAAAAUCUUGUGCAAAAUAAUGACCUAAAAGCACCAAUAACAAAACUUACAACGAGCAUUGUCAACGAAUUUGGCGCUAAAGGAGACAACCCAAAACAUGAGAAAAAUGGCUGUGAAAAAAGUAUUGACACUGGCAGUGUUAAAAUCAAUUUAACAGUUUUUUUUUCAAGAAACCGUCUUAAUAUAAUGUAUUGGAAAGUGACCUUAAUAAAAAAAAAAUGUUGUUUUUGGUGUAUACGUAAUUGUCAUUUGUUCUUUCGUUGUUAAAUUUGUUUUCAAAAUGAAGAAACAAAUUGUGUGAAUUGAUGGAUUUUUUUCAGUCCUUUAACUAUCAUUUACCUGUAAGAAUCAAUUAUGCUACCUCCAGCUGUCCAAUAUGUUUAAGGAAGAGGAGGGUUAUUCUUAAAAAUAUUGGACAGUUAAAGGUAACAUAAUGGUUUCUUGAUAUAAAUGAUAGUCCAAUCACUGAAAUAAAGAACGGGUACAACAAUAGAAUGACGUCACAACAAUGUUUUAAGUUGACAAAAUCAACGUCAGUAAUCAUACUGUUUCAAAAUUGUUUAGUAACAACAAAUAUACAUUUGCCUAUAAUACAAUAUAUAUCAUACAAACAUAAGAUAUUAUAAUGUUCAAUCCUCAACAAUGCUAACAUUUAAUAUAAUUAAAUUGAAUUAACCAA
This is a long non-coding RNA of Mytilus californianus (California mussel), 790 nucleotides long. RefSeq lists it as uncharacterized. NCBI's taxonomy places the organism in Eukaryota, Metazoa, Mollusca, Bivalvia, Mytilida, Mytilidae. The record is from RefSeq and is a predicted model, not a curated record. The transcript has 2 exons.